This is an RNA transcript of Quercus robur (English oak), 5873 nucleotides long. RefSeq lists it as uncharacterized. The record is from RefSeq and is a predicted model, not a curated record. The transcript is spliced from 13 exons. Lineage: Eukaryota; Viridiplantae; Streptophyta; Magnoliopsida; Fagales; Fagaceae.
CUUCUAUCGUUAAUUCUCCUUAUGUUGUGGAUUUUGUGUAUGUUGUGGAUUUGAUUUGCAGAGCAUUAUUGAUUGUGAAAUAUAGUUUACAGAGUAUUAUACUAUUGUUUGUGUAUGUUGUGUUGAUGAAUUUAUUUGUUGAUAAAAUGGUUGCUGCCAGUCUGAAAUUGUUGAGUGAAACGGAGCCCGCCUCUGUACCAUCUAAUGAACAUGCUUUUACAACCGGGUGAUGAACUUGUUGCUAGUGGUGAAGCAUUUGGUUCACAUGAUGAUAUUGAUUUCAAUUUUCUUCAUAACAAAUGAGGCUUGGGUCUUAAAACUUAGUAGUUGUUUGUUUGAAACUUUAAAACUUUUUUGCUAUUUGGAUGUAAUGAACUUAUUUGUUAUUUUCCAACCAUAAAACUGGUAAUUAGCUCCCUUUCCGGUUCUUUCACAGUACCGAUUUUUAAAACCAUGCUUCCCACUCAAAGAAAUAUGACUCAAUAAGCUCCCCCUUCCACACACGGUUGGUCCUGAUCAAUUAAGGAACUAACCAUUGCAGUGUUAUCACUAGCAAUAGAAGGGGAGAUGAUUUUAUUAUUGAACUUCCCUGGCAGCCACCUUUCACCCCAUAUAUGAACUAAAUUUCCACUCCCAAUCCACCAAACAGCCCCUCUUUUAAUGCCAUGAAUUGAACUUCCACCUCAUAUAUCCCUGGUAGCCUUCUGUUUUUUAGUAAUAUAGUAUGCUAUCCUUAAUUAGGAAAGCCAGGUUCCUCUCAAUCAUCAAAUUAUUUUUUUUAAAAAAAAGUUUCAAAAUGCUAAAAUAGAAAAUUGUUUUUUUUCCUCGACUCCAGCAAAUGAACUAUUAUGGAAAGUGGGAAGUGUUUGCUAGAUAUUACACAUCUCACUUUCAAUUGACUAAUAAGAUACGAAAUUUCCAUUCUGUUUGAUCACAAAGAAAGUUCAAAGAUUUAUUUUAGGUUUCACACAAAAACUUGCAUGAUAUUGCAAUGAAAAUGAAAAAGGCAUCAGUAUGGUUCUUGGAAAGUUCAAAGAGUUACUGGUCAUACCAAAAUCAAUGUAAAAAGCAUCAAUAUGGCACUUAAAAGUUCAAAGAGUUGCUGGUCACACCCAAAGCAAGCCACCUUUAAAGGAUCCUCUUGCUUGCAUUCACCCUCUUCCUAAUUUGUCAUUCACUUUCUUGAAUUAUAUUGACAAUCCCUUCACAGUUUUCUUUCUCCUCCUUUCAGAUAUUUACAAUUGUCUGUUCAUAAAUCUUGAUGGCUCUUGUCACUAGCGAAGGAGCCUCAUCUUCUUCUUUCACCCACCAACCCAAGAAGUUUGAUGUCUUCUUGAGUUUCAGAGGUGAAGAUACCCGUCUUGGUUUUACAGGCCAUUUGUAUAAUGCUUUGUGUCAACGGGGUAUUAACACCUUUAUUGAUGAUAACCUUCAAAAAGGAGAAGAAAUUUCUGCAAGUCUUCUCAAAAUCAUUGAAAGCUCAAGGAUUUCAAUAAUUGUAUUCUCUGAAAACUAUGCAUCCUCCACAUGGUGCUUGGAUGAACUUGCUAAAAUUGUCGAGUGUAAGAAGAAUGGCCAAUUGGUGCGACCGGUUUUUUACAACGUGAAUCCAUCAGAAGUUCGCAACCAAAAAGGAAAGUUUGGAAAAACAUUAUCUAAACAUGAAAAAAAAUUAAAGGAUAACAAGAAGUUGCAAGGUUGGAGGAAAGCUUUAUAUGAAGUUGCAAAUAUAUCUGGUUGGCAUUACAAGCAUGACUGUGCUGAAUUUGAAUUUAUCCAAGAGAUUGUUGAAGCGAUCUCAAAUUUUAAAUUAAAUCAGAUGCCAUUAUUUGUUGCUCAAUACCCUAUUGGAAUAAAUUCUCGUGUAGAGGCCAUAAUAUUGCAAUUAGAAAUUGGGUCAGAUGACGUUCGUAUGUUAGGUAUGUAUGGCCUCGGUGGAGUGGGUAAAACAACCAUUGCAAAAGCUGUUUAUAACAAAAUAUUAGAUCAUUUCGAAGGAAGCAUGUUUUUGGAAAAUGUUAGAGACAAGUCAGGGACAUUUGAUGGCAUUAUCCAACUACAAGAGAUACUUCUUCAUGAGACCCUAGGGAUAAAUGGACAACUGAAGGUGUGUAGUGAAUCGAAAGGAACCACUGCGAUAGAGAACAUACUUUGCAAUAAAAGAAUUCUUCUAAUUCUUGAUGAUGUGGAUAAAUUAUACCAAAUAGAAAGAUUGAUUGGAGGAUGUGAUUGGCUUGCUUCUGGAAGUAGAAUAAUUAUAACAACAAGAAAUAAACAUUUCUUACAAACUUUAAGAAUAUGUCAUUCGACUUACGAGGUUAAGGAAUUAGAGGAUCAUGAAGCUCUUGAACUAUUUAGUAUGCAUGCCUUUCAUAAAAACAAACCCGAGGAAGAUUAUUCAAAACUUACUGAUCAGGUUAUAUGUUAUGCCAAGGGCCUUCCAUUAGCUCUAUCAAUAAUUAGUGCCAAUUUGCAUGGAAGAAGUGAAAUGGAAUGGAAAAGUGCAUUAGAUAAGUACAAAAUGAUUCCUGACAAAGAUAUUCAAAAAGUACUCCAAGUAAGUUAUCAAGGAUUGGAUGAAAUGGAGCAAGAUAUUUUUCUCGAUCUUGCAUGUUUCUUCAAGGGUCUUUACAAGGAUUAUGUUGUAGAUAUACUAAAUUCUUGCAAUCUAUACCCAGUUAUUGGUAUUAAAAAUCUUAUAGAUAAGUGUCUCAUAACUGUUGAUCAAUUUAACAAAUUAUGGAUGCAUGACUUGCUACAACAAAUGGGUAGAGAGAUUGUUCGACAGGAAUCACCACAAAUACCUGGAUUACGUAGCAGACUAUGGUGUUAUGAGGAUGCUUUUGAAGUACUAACAGAAAAUAAGGGAUCUGAUAAUAUUCGAGGCAUAAUGAUAAUCUCGCCUGAACCAACAAAGUUGCAACUAAAAGCUAACUGUUUUGAGAAGAUGGGAAAUCUCAAGUUCCUUUUGGUUAGUAAUGUUAAUACUUCUGGAGAUCUUGAAUAUCUUCCCAAUGGAUUAAGGGUGCUUGAUUGGUCUAGAUUUCCUUCAUCUUCCUUACCAUCCAAUUUUCGUCCUCACAACCUUGUUGUACUUAACAUGCCACAAAGUCCCGUUAUAUUGGACAAGAUUUUUGAGAGUAUACAAUACAAAAGCUUGACAUAUAUGAAUUUCAGUUUUUGUCAAUACAUUAGAAAAUUACCGAACUUAUUGAGUGCCACCCCAAACAUAAAGGAAUUGAAUCUUCGUGAAUGUAAAAAAUUAGUCAAGGUUCAUGAUUCUGUUGGAUGUCUUGCUAAGCUUGAAAGUUGGGACCUCGGCAAUUGCUAUAAACUUCGAAUUCUUCCAAGCUGCAUCUCAAUGAAGUCUCUUAAACUUUUAUGUCUUUAUCUGUGUGAAAGGGUUAAGAGGUUGCCUGAUUUUCCACAUGAAAUGAAAAAUUUAAAGUAUCUAAGUCUAGCACACACUUCCAUUAGAGAGCUUCCUCCAUCAUUUAGGAAUCUCACCGGGCUUGAGCGAUUAGAUUUUGGUUCCUAUUUCAAUUUGUGCCGUCUUCCAAGAAGCAUCGAUCAAUUGCAACAUCUUCGCAUACUCAAGCUUUAUGAAUAUGACCAUUUGCGACAAUAUUUAUCAAAUUAUGGUUUUCUAAGGUUGAAUUUUCUAAAAAAGUUGACUUCUUGUUUCACCCCCACAAAGAAAUGUUUAUUAUCGGGGAGAGAAGGUUUGAGCCUCGAAGAAAGCAUUGUCAAAUUCAAUAGAUUACAAUAUCUUCAGAUUAGGGAUUCCAAGUUCCUUCAGAAAAUUCCAAAGCUUCCAGAAAGUAUAAGAACAGUACGCGCAAUAAAUUGCAUUUCAUUGAGUUCAAAAUCAGUAAGAAAAUUAUUCCUUCAGUUUAGAAGAAAGUUAGAGGUUCCACAAAAUACAAAAUAUGAAGACAACAUAUUAAUGGAUUCGCAUUCACAUCACAAAUUAUCGCAUCAGAUUGAUUACUCUUCCAAGAUUGAUUACUCUUCCAGGAUUGAUUUCUCCCUCUCCCUCUUCAAGCCCUCACGCACUCUACAUGCGUUUCUGAUGGAUUAUACGAGGGAUUAUGGAGAGUCAUAUAAUAUUAUAGUAACAGGAAAGAAGAUUCCAAAGUGGUUCAACCAUCAAAGUAUUGAAAGUUCCAUAUCGUUUUGGAUUGGUACUAAAUUUCCAACAAUUGCGGUUUGUUUAGGUUUUCAUCUAGUUCCGUUGAAGGACAGUUAUGCUAAUAAUGAUAAGUACGGUUCUGUUCGUGAUGAUGUAAUCAGUUGGCAAUGUCAUGUCAACAUUUUCACCAACGGUCAUACGCAACCUUUCACGCUGCGGAGGAACUUUUACCAUAUUAAGUGUGAUCAUCUGUGGUCUUACGGUGUUUCUAAUAGCAAAUUACAGCAGUAUUUCGGAAACAUGAUGCAAGGUGAUCGGAAUCUUGUUGAGGUUUCAUGUAAAAUCUCUAGGUGGAAUAGUAUAAACGGAAAAUUCGCUCCUGUGAUUGCAAGGAUAGGGGUACAUGCAGAAUGCAUUUGUCAUCAUCCAAAUUCCAUUAUAUUCGAUGACAACUCUCAAAAUGUUGAUGACAACUCUGACUACUCUGAAAAUGAUGAUGACAGCUCUGAUGACAACUAAGACAGAGCUUGCAUCUUUACUAUCUCCUUUCUCCACUUCUUGCGGGACCAUCUUCACUGCAUUCAAGCAAUGAUGGCUGAGAUUUGAUUUUGUCAUCAAUUGCCCAUAUGACUCAAAUGGGUCUGACUUGUUUUUGGGAUUUGACUCAACUGUUGGAGUUGGGUUUGAUUUGGCUUCCUCUACAAUGGCCGAUCCGUCUGCAAACUAUGAUUCUGGCUUCAACCCAUAUCCAUAGUAGAAGAAAAUGAGAACCUCUUGAUCAAAUUUUGAGGAAACAUAGCAAGGGUAUUCAAAUAAACAUGCAACAAUGCUUCUACCAAGUGAGAAAUCUUAUGCAUGGAUUUGGUUACAGGGCAAGAUAGACUUCAGCUUAUGUCUCGACUCUCCACUGUGACAUUCUCAGUUCUUGUGAACAGACCCCCAACUGGCAUAUUCAGCAUUAUAGGGGUUUGAGUAAAGUGGAUUGUAGGAGCAACAGGAUUUCUUUUCUGGUUUCCAGGUGGGAAAGGGAAUUGAGAUUUCACACUUCUUUAUAGAUGACCAUAUAUCAUCUUCUUGUGGAGGUGUACAACUGAACUAAGCUAUCUUAGUUGUCUGCUUCUUUUCUUUGAGACUCCCAAAUUAAUAAUGAAAUGGGUUCUAUGGAAGACUAUUGGCAGUUGUUUAAGGCUAUAAGGCAAUAGAACUCAUGGUUGUUGAUGCUCUGUUAAAAACAAAUGAUUAGCUUGACAUUGCAUCCUCAAUUCAUCAACCGGCAGGAUUUUGGAAGUUAGAUGAUUCAAUCUUAAAAAUCAUUGAAAUUUCUGAUGUACAAACUCUCAAGGAAGCAAGAGACAUUAUCCCAUGCAUUUGAAGAAGGGAGCUAUAUCAGCUAUCUUAUUACAAUCGCAAGAUGGGGAAGAGUUCUGCAAUGAGUUCUCUGUCCCAAUGGACAAGAUGGAGCACUUCAAAAAGAUCACUCCCCAAGAUAUCAUUUGCUCCCAGUUCCAAAAAAGAUAAAAUGGGUGGUGUGACGCUAGAAGAAGAAGAUAUUGUUGUGAGCAAUGUUAAGAUCGAUUUGACCUGAGGAAGAAACAACCCUCUUCAAAGCAUCAAAUUCUUCAAGGAUUAUGACAGCAAUGAGAUGUUCUCAAUCCAAGAUGAUCGCAUCAGCCACUUGCUGCCUGCAUUUUACCAAGAUAUGAUAGAUAGUGAGGGUGUACUCUAAGAAGCCUGAACUGGU